AUCCAGCUGUCGAGUCCCAAAUAGGACGAAACGCGCAUCCUGGAU
Molecule: non-coding RNA, 45 nt
Filed under: Schistosoma mansoni
Lineage: Eukaryota; Metazoa; Platyhelminthes; Trematoda; Strigeidida; Schistosomatidae
Source: RNAcentral